CUUGAACGCUAGCGGCAGGCCUAACACAUGCAAGUCGAGCGAGCGGCCGAUGGGUGAGUAAUGUAUGACGACUGCCCGAUAGACGGGGAUAACUACUGGAAACGGUAGCUAAUACCGCAUACUAUCGGAUAACCCAUAUGGGAUUAGCUAGUAGGUGAGGUAAUGGCCCACCUAGGCGACGAUCCCUAGCUGUCCUGAGAGGAUGAUCAGACACACUGGGAGUGUGACGCGGCGCGGACUCAUUCGGAGGAAACAGUGGGGAAUAUUAGACAAUGGGCGCAAGCCUGAUGCGGCUAUGCCCAGUGUAUGAAGAAGGCCCUAGGGGUGUAAAGAAGCUUGAGGCGGGAGGCGUUUCCGGCAGAAGAAGAACCGUCUAGCUCCGUGCCAGCAGCCGCGGUAAUUC
This 403-nucleotide ribosomal RNA is filed under the name uncultured bacterium. RNAcentral's name for it is "partial 16S ribosomal RNA". It matches the Rfam family "Bacterial small subunit ribosomal RNA", at positions 30 to 526 of the family's 1533-position model. The record is from RNAcentral.